GGGCGUGUGGCGGAACUGGUAUACGCGUGCGACUCAAAAUCGUAUGGUCUUACGACCGUGUGGGUUCGAAACCCACCAUGCCCA
Molecule: transfer RNA, 84 nt
Filed under: bacterium
Lineage: Bacteria
Description: tRNA-Leu
Rfam family: tRNA
About the family: Transfer RNA (tRNA) molecules are approximately 80 nucleotides in length. Their secondary structure includes four short double-helical elements and three loops (D, anti-codon, and T loops). Further hydrogen bonds mediate the characteristic L-shaped molecular structure. tRNAs have two regions of fundamental functional importance: the anti-codon, which is responsible for specific mRNA codon recognition, and the 3' end, to which the tRNAs corresponding amino acid is attached (by aminoacyl-tRNA synthetases). tRNAs cope with the degeneracy of the genetic code in two manners: having more than one tRNA (with a specific anti-codon) for a particular amino acid; and 'wobble' base-pairing, i.e. permitting non-standard base-pairing at the 3rd anti-codon position.
Source: RNAcentral